CCAGCCUGUUGAAUCAGAUUGUAAUGUACUUUCACGUUUAUAUCACGUAUGAUUGACGGUCCAGAUGAUUAUGCGCAACAUGUGCCUCCAUCAAACACGCACUGUUGGGUUUGGCCUCGUAAGCCUUCCUCAUUUUGCCCGAGGCCACCACAGAGUGGUGAGGAGGAGUCUACCGUGUAUUGAUGACAUCGACUUCACCAUUCAUUUUCUUUAAUUCAGGUUCACGCAAACAUUGUUUUAAACGUUGUUUUACUAUUGACAGUUACAGCUGACUUCGGGUUUGUAUAUAGAUUCGCUCUCCUUCAAUAAAAGUACAUCAGAUGUGUAAUGUACGUACAUGUUCUCACCUGGACUGCCUGAGGGUGACGUUGUACUAAUUACGACAUCGCUCCCGCACCCAGCGACCCCAUACACUGUCCCAACCUCUUCCUCCACAGUCCACACCCCAGGUCCAACCACAGAGUUGAAGACGGGGGACCAGGGACAAUGCUUUCAAGCAGUUCCACAGCAAGCGGACAGGCCGAUGGACAUUCUCAUUUUGUAACCAGAGCAACGAAGACAUUUUUCAGGAGCCAAGAAGGAGGUCUUCAGUUAAGCUGAAGGGAAUCUCAUUUGAGAAACUUGGCAUAAACAAGUGCAAAGAUGGCAUAAAGUUCACAAACAAAUCCAAAUGGACUUUCAUGAAAGGCAAAAAGACCACAGAAGGAAGCCACUGCUGAGCAAAUAUAACAAAUAUUUUUAAUUAAAAGAUGUUUGACCUACUAUGUCAUUUUUAAUUAAUGUUAGACCUAUGUCAGAACACGCUCUCACUGACAGUGUGUGGAGUUCAAUGUCCUGACCAAAGGGAAUUAAUGAAUUGCCUAGCCUACAUUAU
Oncorhynchus masou masou (cherry salmon) is the source of this 874-nucleotide long non-coding RNA. RefSeq lists it as uncharacterized. The transcript has 4 exons. The record is from RefSeq and is a predicted model, not a curated record. NCBI's taxonomy places the organism in Eukaryota, Metazoa, Chordata, Actinopteri, Salmoniformes, Salmonidae.